UACGUAGGUGACCAGCGUUGUCCGGAUUUACUGGGCGUAGAGAGCGCGCAGGCGGUCGUUCAAGUCGAGUGUGAAAGCCCCCGGCUCAACUGGGGAGGGUCACUCGAUACUGAUCGACUGGAAGGCAGGAGAGGGAAGCGGAAUUCCCGGUGUAGUGGUGAAAUGCGUAGAUAUCGGGAGGAACACCAGUGGCGAAGGCGGCUUCCUGGCCUGUUCUUGACGCUGAGGCGCGAAAGCUAGGGGAGCAAACGGG
This 253-nucleotide ribosomal RNA is filed under the name uncultured bacterium. RNAcentral's name for it is "partial 16S ribosomal RNA". It matches the Rfam family "Bacterial small subunit ribosomal RNA", at positions 524 to 776 of the family's 1533-position model. The record is from RNAcentral.